RNAcentral lists this non-coding RNA (24 nucleotides) under Arabidopsis thaliana (thale cress). Lineage: Eukaryota; Viridiplantae; Streptophyta; Magnoliopsida; Brassicales; Brassicaceae. The record is from RNAcentral.
UCAGUGCCAAUUCCCAUAUGGGAA